Molecule: ribosomal RNA, 334 nt
Filed under: Pheidole sp. RA0492
Lineage: Eukaryota; Metazoa; Arthropoda; Insecta; Hymenoptera; Formicidae
Description: partial 12S ribosomal RNA
Source: RNAcentral
UUAUUAUAAUUAAAAUUAAUUAAUAAAAGAUUAAAUGAAAUCAUUAAAUUUAAAAAAUUUGGCGGUAUUUUAAAUAGUUAGAGGAAUUUGUUAGAUAAAUGAUGGCCCACGAUUGGAGAGUCUUAAUAGAGUUUUUAUGUAUUGUUGUAUAAAAAUUAUUUUAGAAGAAUAAUGAUUAAAAUAUUUAAUUUAAUUUGAGUUCAAAUCAAAUUGUAGAAUUAUUAAGUUGCAAUGAAUAAAUGAAUUACAUUUUAUUGGAUUUAUUUUUUUAAUUAUAAUAAUGAGAGAGGAUUUAAGAGUAAAUUUAAAUAAAUUUUUAAGUUGAAAAAUUAGU